This 1423-nucleotide ribosomal RNA is filed under the name Streptomyces violaceorubidus. Its description in RNAcentral is "bacterial SSU rRNA". It matches the Rfam family "Bacterial small subunit ribosomal RNA". Lineage: Bacteria; Bacillati; Actinomycetota; Actinomycetes; Kitasatosporales; Streptomycetaceae. The record is from RNAcentral.
CGGGGGGGUGCUUACACAUGCAGUCGAACGAUGAACCACUUCGGUGGGGAUUAGUGGCGAACGGGUGAGUAACACGUGGGCAAUCUGCCCUUCACUCUGGGACAAGCCCUGGAAACGGGGUCUAAUACCGGAUAACACUGCGGAUCGCAUGGUCUGCGGUUAAAAGCUCCGGCGGUGAAGGAUGAGCCCGCGGCCUAUCAGCUUGUUGGUGAGGUAAUGGCUCACCAAGGCGACGACGGGUAGCCGGCCUGAGAGGGCGACCGGCCACACUGGGACUGAGACACGGCCCAGACUCCUACGGGAGGCAGCAGUGGGGAAUAUUGCACAAUGGGCGAAAGCCUGAUGCAGCGACGCCGCGUGAGGGAUGACGGCCUUCGGGUUGUAAACCUCUUUCAGCAGGGAAGAAGCGAAAGUGACGGUACCUGCAGAAGAAGCGCCGGCUAACUACGUGCCAGCAGCCGCGGUAAUACGUAGGGCGCAAGCGUUGUCCGGAAUUAUUGGGCGUAAAGAGCUCGUAGGCGGCUUGUCACGUCGAUUGUGAAAGCCCGAGGCUUAACCUCGGGUCCUGCAGUCGAUACGGGCUAGCUAGAGUUCGGUAGGGGAGAUCGGAAUUCCUGGUGUAGCGGUGAAAUGCGCAGAUAUCAGGAGGAACACCGGUGGCGAAGGCGGAUCUCUGGGCCGAUACUGACGCUGAGGAGCGAAAGCGUGGGGAGCGAACAGGAUUAGAUACCCUGGUAGUCCACGCCGUAAACGGUGGGCACUAGGUGUGGGCAACAUUCCACGUUGUCCGUGCCGCAGCUAACGCAUUAAGUGCCCCGCCUGGGGAGUACGGCCGCAAGGCUAAAACUCAAAGGGAAUUGACGGGGGCCCGCACAAGCGGCGGAGCAUGUGGCUUAAUUCGACGCAACGCGAAGAACCUUACCAAGGCUUGACAUACACCGGAAAGCACCAGAGAUGGUGCCCCCCUUGUGGUCGGUGUACAGGUGGUGCAUGGCUGUCGUCAGCUCGUGUCGUGAGAUGUUGGGUUAAGUCCCGCAACGAGCGCAACCCUUGUCCCGUGUUGCCAGCAGGCCCUUGUGGUGCUGGGGACUCACGGGAGACCGCCGGGGUCAACUCGGAGGAAGGUGGGGACGACGUCAAGUCAUCAUGCCCCUUAUGUCUUGGGCUGCACACGUGCUACAAUGGCCGGUACAAUGAGCUGCGAUACCGUGAGGUGGAGCGAAUCUCAAAAAGCCGGUCUCAGUUCGGAUUGGGGUCUGCAACUCGACCCCAUGAAGUCGGAGUCGCUAGUAAUCGCAGAUCAGCAUUGCUGCGGUGAAUACGUUCCCGGGCCUUGUACACACCGCCCGUCACGUCACGAAAGUCGGUAACACCCGAAGCCGGUGGCCCAACCCCUUGUGGGAGGGAGCUUCGAAGUGACGGG